Molecule: long non-coding RNA, 218 nt
Filed under: Carica papaya (papaya)
Lineage: Eukaryota; Viridiplantae; Streptophyta; Magnoliopsida; Brassicales; Caricaceae
Description: long non-coding RNA (CPAP_LNC002566)
Source: RNAcentral
CCCAAUUAUGGAUAAUUUGCCAUUAGACAAGUCUCUUUUAUACCCUUUUAAUAGAUUCUUUAUAAGUUUUUAUGGUCCUCAUGUAUAAGAUCAGAACAACAAGACGUCUCCCCGGGUAAACUAUAAUAGGGAUAAUGUUUAACUCACUCAAGUUCUGAACAAUCAUACAGUUGAUGAUGUUGCACAUAACAGAGUGAUUUAUUGAUUUUGAUGAAUGA